CACUUUCAUUUGCUUCCAAUAUUCCACCCUUCUUAUAUUACUUACCAUCCCUAUUCUAUAUAUAUAUAUAUACGGAACGCACAGGACUGAUAGAAUCCAAACCGUGUUACGUGUCAUCAGAAAGUGCGAAAGCUUAAUUCCCAGAAUUGGAUAUCACAGUUGAACGAGUCGCAAUCAGGAUCUUGAUAAAAAGACUCUACAGAGUGAAUGGUGAAUUCCGUAAUAAAAUUUUUAUACGUUCGAUAUAAAGUGUACUACGUGCGUAUGCCAAUUGACGUACUCUUGUACGUCCAAUACUGUAUAGUACAUGCAACAUAAGUGUCUGAAUCAUUUCUUCACUAUAACCCGUGCUGACUCUAUAUACAGCUGGAGGAUAGUUACGUGGAAGAGCCUGGUAAGGACUUACCCGUUUGACCAUUAUAGGCAGGACUAUGGAGACAACUUUAUACGAGUGGCUGUCGUCGUUCUUAGGUGCCAAUCGCACCUGUGAAUGUUCACGUUUUAUACUGUCUUUUGUCCAAGAGUGAAACAAUGGACGGAUGUUUAAAAAUAGGAAAAAUUUCGAGAUAAUCUUUUUCAGAAAGUGGAACAGGAUCCGACACCAGAGUGGUACAUAACCACGAGGAGUUGAGAAACAGCAUUGGGAUUUACGGUAGCUAACGAUUCUUCGGGUUUUUGUCGUACGCCAAGAGAGUCGACAGACAGACGGACCACUCGAUGUUUCACUCAGCGCCACUCGAGGUCCCCGUCCUCAUCCACGUCCUCGUAAGAAGGCUAAAAACUGGCAGGUACCGUAAAUGCGUGUAACAGAAGAUACGCAUACAAGUGAAUAGGACUCGAAGGAGAUUAAGAAGAGUGGAGGGCAAUAAGCAAAAAAAAAAUUUUAAUACCCGAAAAUAUCAAAUACGUGGAAAGAUCGUAUAAGUAAAAUGAUUUAUUUUAAUAUAAA
Long non-coding RNA from Cephus cinctus (wheat stem sawfly), 949 nucleotides. RefSeq lists it as uncharacterized. Lineage: Eukaryota; Metazoa; Arthropoda; Insecta; Hymenoptera; Cephidae. The record is from RefSeq and is a predicted model, not a curated record. The transcript has 2 exons.